Tripterygium wilfordii is the source of this 1545-nucleotide long non-coding RNA. RefSeq lists it as uncharacterized. The transcript has 3 exons. NCBI's taxonomy places the organism in Eukaryota, Viridiplantae, Streptophyta, Magnoliopsida, Celastrales, Celastraceae. The record is from RefSeq and is a predicted model, not a curated record.
GUUACAUCGUUUCCAAAAGUCCACCUCAUUUGAAAACCUAAUCUCCCAAACAAAUUUCCCUCCGUUUCGAAAAUCGUUCUUGUCAUCCUCUGUCAAACCUACUUGUGAUGAAAAUAGUUCCCCUUUACUCUUUACUCAUUCUGCUCAUUGUUUCCAUUAGAGAAUGUAGUUGCAUCCCAUAAUUUUUCUGAUAGAUAUCGGUAUUUGUUUAGGUUUUGUCUGUCCGUCCCACAAUGUUCCCCUUCCCUCUUACCCAGAGAUGCCAGACGAAAAUCGCCAUCAACCGUGAAAAAUUUACGUGUCCUUGACCCGAUCGGGAGUACCUUCCACCGUCGCACUCAAACCCACCGUCGCAUCGUCUUCUUCAUUGACCGGAGUCUCAGAGAUCCGUUGGGGGUCCACGAGCUUGAAGGGCGCUCGAGAUGAGAUAGAGGACGACGUAGUCAUCCGACUCGACGGACUCGAGGGGUUCUCCGUUGCCGCUGUAUUUGACGGCCACUCAGGGUUCUCUUCCAUCAAGUUCCUCAGGUUCAAUGAUUAUUGAUUAAUUGUUACCGAUAAUCUUCAAAGGUUUCAUCUCUUCGCCUUCUCUUUCAAUUCUUUAGUACGCUUUAUGUGCGCCUGCUUGGAGUAAAAGGUAGGAAUCUUGUGCUUUAUUGAAUGGAGAAGAAGCGGUUGCUUGUGCUUUGGCCGUCUAUAAUCUUUUGUUAAAUUUCAGGAUUCUCAUGUUUUGUGUGCUGGACGGGGUUUGCUUUUAUGCAAUUUUUUCUUAUAAUUUCUUGUUGGGAUUGGGCGGAUUUUUUGAUGUGAAGAUGGGUUAUUGAAGCAAAUGGAGCAUCAGGUACGCUCUACACUGGUGAAACAUAUCAACUUAAGGUUGAUUUUCCUGAGCAUUACCCUUUGGAAGCCCCUCAGGUUAUAUUUCUUCAUCCUGCCUUGCUGCAGCCUCAUAUAUAUAGCAAUGGCCAUAUAUGUUUAGCAACGCCUGAAGACAAUGAUCGUUACGUAAAGAAUUGCAGAAAUGGAAGAUCCCCAAACGAAACCACAUGGUGGUUCCAUGAUAAUAAAGUGUAACCACCGAAUAAAGACUUUCGAUUGCCGCCGGGGCUAGUCAAAAGAACAAAAAGGCUACGACUAGAACCCCAGCGGGGCAACUCCAAAUCAUGGGGACGACUCCCCCUGAGACGAGCAAAUUCUUUCUUAAUAGAGAGAGUUCCCUUUACCUUUGAAGUAGAUGAAUAGAGAAAUGCAAACAUAAGAGCAAUUCAUUCAGGGACUGCAAUUUUGGUCUGAAUGCAUUAUGAGUUAUGAUUCCUGGAAUGGCAAUGGUCGUUAUCUGUAAAAGGAAGAGGGAUAAUUUGUGUGAGGAACAAACUUGGUUCACUAUGCUUGAUUACUCGAUUUUAGGUAUUAGUACCGUGUUAGCACAUGAAUUCAAUUUUUAUCAUUUCAGAUGACCAAUUGUGUGGAUGUUGUGUUUCUGGUUCAACUUUGGAAGUGUAUUUGGCCAAUAAUCCCCUCCCAAUGAUAAGUUUUAGAGACGGA